Molecule: ribosomal RNA, 876 nt
Filed under: uncultured archaeon
Lineage: Archaea
Description: bacterial SSU rRNA
Rfam family: Archaeal small subunit ribosomal RNA
Source: RNAcentral
UAUCGGAUUGAUACUAAGCCAUGCGAGUCAUUGUAGCAAUACAAGGCAUACGGCUCAGUAACGCGUAGUCAACCUAACCUAUGGACGGGAAUAACCUCGGGAAACUGAGAAUAAUGCCCGAUAGAACAUUAUGCCUGGAAUGGUUUAUGUUCCAAAUGAUUUAUCGCCGUAGGAUGGGACUGCGGCCUAUCAGUUUGUUGGUGAGGUAAUGGCCCACCAAGACUAUCACAGGUACGGGCUCUGAGAGGAGUAGCCCGGAGAUGGGUACUGAGACACGGACCCAGGCCCUAUGGGGCGCAGCAGGCGAGAAAACUUUGCAAUGUGCGAAAGCACGACAAGGUUAAUCCGAGUGGUUUCUGCUAAAGGAACCUUUUGUCAGUCCUAGAAACACUGAUGAAUAAGGGGUGGGCAAGUUCUGGUGUCAGCCGCCGCGGUAAAACCAGCACCUCAAGUGGUCAGGAUGAUUAUUGGGCCUAAAGCAUCCGUAGCCGGCUCUGUAAGUUUUCGGUUAAAUCUGUACGCUCAACGUACAGGCUGCCGGGAAUACUGCAAAGCUAGGGAGUGGGAGAGGUAGACGGUACUCGGUAGGAAGGGGUAAAAUCCUUUGAUCUAUUGAUGACCACCUGUGGCGAAGGCGGUCUACCAGAACACGUCCGACGGUGAGGGAUGAAAGCUGGGGGAGCAAACCGGAUUAGAUACCCGGGUAGUCCCAGCUGUAAACCAUGCAAACUCAGUGAUGCAUUGGCUUGUGGCCAAUGCAGUGCUGCAGGGAAGCCGUUAAGUUUGCCGCCUGGGAAGUACGUACGCAAGUAUGAAACUUAAAGGAAUUGGCGGGGGAGCACCACAAGGGGUGAAGCCUGCGGUUCAAUUGGAUUC